GGGUUUGUGGCGAUGACAGAUAAAAAUUGAAACCCACAGUACUGGGUUGGGCAUCCCAAGACAUUAAAAACUACUGAAGCUAUGCAGAUGCAUCUUCCAGGCAAAGAUGAUAUGAUGAUAGCACUGGACGAUUAUGCAAACCUUACAGCCCUUCCAGAAAUGUGAACUACCCAGCACCAUGAACUGAACUCAGCGAUGUUCAACAAUGGCCCAAACUCUCUGAUACAGGGAAUGGGUAAAUGAACUGGAACUAUGUCACUACAACAUGGUUUACAACAAGAUAUGACUAUCACAGUGCAUCAGCACCAUGCAAGGUUCAUAGCCAUCAAUAUUUGUCCUUGCACCUGGUAACAUCAGCAAUUUGGGGAAUUAUCAAGUUCAUGGCAAAUAAGCCAUCAAGCAUUUCAAGAAUUUAUUUAACCAAAGCAAGAACAGGAAAACUUGGAACAUGCUUAUCAAAAAUUUACAGCAUUACAUAAUCAGUAAUUGCAUGGACAUGGUCCCACUAGAAUUUUCCAACUGUGUUGCAUACAACAAAAAUAUUCUUGUAAGUUGCAUGAAAGAUUUUAGACUUCAUAUAACAGUAUAAUCA
Molecule: long non-coding RNA, 592 nt
Filed under: Homo sapiens (human)
Lineage: Eukaryota; Metazoa; Chordata; Mammalia; Primates; Hominidae
Description: HSALNT0007916
Source: RNAcentral